RNAcentral lists this ribosomal RNA (484 nucleotides) under uncultured bacterium. RNAcentral describes it as "partial 16S ribosomal RNA". It matches the Rfam family "Bacterial small subunit ribosomal RNA", at positions 30 to 507 of the family's 1533-position model. The record is from RNAcentral.
AUUGAACGCUGGCGGCAGGCCUAACACAUGCAAGUCGAGCGGAUGAAGGGAGCUUGCUCCUGGAUUCAGCGGCGGACGGGUGAGUAAUGCCUAGGAAUCUGCCUGGUAGUGGGGGAUAACGCCCGGAAACGGGCGCUAAUACCGCAUACGUCCUGAGGGAGAAAGUGGGGGAUCUUCGGACCUCACGCUAUCAGAUGAGCCUAGGUCGGAUUAGCUAGUUGGUGGGGUAAAGGCCUACCAAGGCGACGAUCCGUAACUGGUCUGAGAGGAUGAUCAGUCACACUGGAACUGAGACACGGUCCAGACUCCUACGGGAGGCAGCAGUGGGGAAUAUUGGACAAUGGGCGAAAGCCUGAUCCAGCCAUGCCGCGUGUGUGAAGAAGGUCUUCGGAUUGUAAAGCACUUUAAGUUGGGAGGAAGGGCAGUAAGUUAAUACCUUGCUGUUUUGACGUUACCAACAGAAUGAGCACCGGCUAACUUCGUG